GACGAACGCUGGCGGCGUGCUUAACACAUGCAAGUCGAACGGAAAGGCCCUGCUUUUGUGGGGUGCUCGAGUGGCGAACGGGUGAGUAACACGUGAGUAACCUGCCCUUGACUUUGGGAUAACUUCAGGAAACUGGGGCUAAUACCGGAUAGGAGCUCCUGCUGCAUGGUGGGGGUUGGAAAGUUUCGGCGGUUGGGGAUGGACUCGCGGCUUAUCAGCUUGUUGGUGGGGUAGUGGCUUACCAAGGCUUUGACGGGUAGCCGGCCUGAGAGGGUGACCGGGCACAUUGGGACUGAGGUACGGCCCAGACUCCUACGGGAGGCAGCAGUGGGGAAUAUUGCACAAUGGGCGGAAGCCUGAUGCAGCAACGCCGCGUGCGGGAUGACGGCCUUCGGGUUGUAAACCGCUUUCGCCUGUGACGAAGCGGGAGUGACGGUAAUGGGUAAAGAAGCACCGGCUAACUACGUG
This 468-nucleotide ribosomal RNA is filed under the name uncultured bacterium. RNAcentral's name for it is "partial 16S ribosomal RNA". It matches the Rfam family "Bacterial small subunit ribosomal RNA", at positions 28 to 507 of the family's 1533-position model. The record is from RNAcentral.